GGAACCUAAGGUCUGAUGGAUAUGGUCUAUGCAAGUUGACUAAGAAGGAAACAGGUUCUGCUGGGUGAGAACGGCUGGGUUAAAAACAGGCGCUGAAAAGAUAAAACGGGGCUAAGAGAAGUAAAAAUUAGGGUCUGACAAGGAAAGUGGAACUGGUGAACAAGGCUGGGUAUGACUGAGAAGGAAAGAGAAUGAUCUUAGCAGGAAAAAGGUCAAGGGAAUUAAUGCUGGUUUGAGAAGGACAUUAGGAGAAUGUGGGUUGG
Molecule: non-coding RNA, 263 nt
Organism: Pelobates cultripes (western spadefoot toad)
Lineage: Eukaryota; Metazoa; Chordata; Amphibia; Anura; Pelobatidae
Source: the annotation of a GenBank genome assembly